Molecule: ribosomal RNA, 468 nt
Filed under: uncultured bacterium
Lineage: Bacteria
Description: bacterial SSU rRNA
Rfam family: Bacterial small subunit ribosomal RNA
Source: RNAcentral
AUUGAACGCUGGCGGCAUGCCUUACACAUGCAAGUCGAACGGCAGCACGGGUGCUUGCACCUGGUGGCGAGUGGCGAACGGGUGAGUAAUAUAUCGGAACGUACCUUAUCGUGGGGGAUAACGCAGCGAAAGCUGCGCUAAUACCGCAUACGCCCUGAGGGGGAAAGCGGGGGACCGUAAGGCCCCGCGCGAUUGGAUAUGCCCAGGUGGGAUUAGCUUGUUGGUGAGGUAAUGGCUCACCAAGGCGACGAUCCGUAACUGGUCUGAGAGGAUGAUCAGUCACACUGGAACUGAGACACGGUCCAGACUCCUACGGGAGGCAGCAGUGGGGAAUAUUGGACAAUGGGCGAAAGCCUGAUCCAGCCAUGCCGCGUGUGUGAAGAAGGUCUUCGGAUUGUAAACCUCUUUUAGCAGGGAAGAAGCGAAAGUGACGGUACCUGCAGAAAAAAGCAACCGGCUAACUACGUG